GACAGAGGAUGCAAGCGUUAUCCGGAAUGAUUGGGCGUAAAGCGUCUGUAGGUGGCUUUUUAAGUCUGCCGUCAAAUCCCAGGGCUUAACCCUGGACAGGCGGUGGAAACUACCAAGCUGGAGUACGAUAGGGGCAGGGGGAAUUUCCGGUGGAGCGGUGAAAUGCGUAGAGAUCGGAAAGAACACCAACGGCGAAAGCACUCUGCUGGGCCGACACUGACACUGAGAGACGAAAGCUAGGGGAGCGAAUGGG
Molecule: ribosomal RNA, 253 nt
Filed under: uncultured bacterium
Lineage: Bacteria
Description: partial 16S ribosomal RNA
Rfam family: Bacterial small subunit ribosomal RNA
Source: RNAcentral